UACUACAUCUUUUUCACCAAUGUGCUAGUUUUCACUGAUGUGUCUACUACUCUUGUCAGCCUUUCAUGCUAAAAUUAGAGUUAAUUAUGAGUUUAUAUUUUCAUACAACCUUAUGGCUCAUGCAUUUUUGUUGUAAUGCUUGGAUGAUUAAGGAUACCUGAUAAACACACGUCUAUUUGGUUGUGGAUUUGUCAAAGAAUUUUGUCUAAUAGAAAAUAUUAUAGUAGUUUCUGUAUAUAAUGAAAAGAUACCGGAUUCAUAUACAUCCCAGUGAAGUUGGUUUGGGUAGCUACUUUAGUGAUUGAGUUUGAUGUAAUGCAUAUGACAGAUGAAGUUACCGUGGAUGGCUGCUGUCUGUUGGCGCAAGUAACUAUUCAAAACCCUUAGAACUUGGCCAAUUUGAUGGCUUUAAUCUUUGUGGACGCUAUAUUGAUGAUUUUAUAAUUUUUUAUUUUUGAGAAUUCUUUGUAUGCAAUGGAGUGAGUGCACAAUAGCAAUACCUGGAGCAUUGAGGUGGAGACAGUAGGGUUCCGUUUGUUAAACAAGCAAGACAUCAAAGAGACAUAGAAUGUGAGGAAUCCAGUCAAGGAGAUUUUUUUUUUUUUCUCUUCUUUUACCUUUAUGAAGUAUAUUUAAUGCUAAGGCAGUUGCUAUAUGCAUGCUGCCAUGACAAAUCAACAGCUAACAGAUAGUGGAAACCGGAUGAUGGACAAGACUGAUCAAGCCAUUGGAGGUCAUAAAAGACUGUUCAAGACACCAUCAACGUUGGAACAGAAACUGCAGCUGCACUCAAGGAUCAGACUGAACAAAUGAGUCAGGCUGUUAAGUGUUAAUGAGCUGGACUAUCCAUUUCUCGAUCAAGAAAGCUUCUCAACUUGUGAAGGAACUUGGUAGGCAGGUUGCAACUGAUAGGUGUAUUAUGGCAUUACUCUUCCUAAUUAUUGCCAUUGGAGUCAUAGCUAUCAUUAUUGUAAAGGAGGGACAAUCAUGGCACGGGGAUUGAGGUCCCUAUUGAGGUGGAAAAAAGGAUGCAUAUUUAUUACAUUCGGAACAGAGGGUUUGGUAACAGAUUUAAUGUGUUGGGUGAUGACAAUCAUGGCACUCCGAAUGACUUAACGCAAUGACCCAGAAAUCAAGAAGGCAUGUGACUCAUACAGUGAUCAUUUUGGACAGUUCUUCAAACUGAUAUUCUAUGGCAUCCAAAAGGAGCAGUACUAGUAGAAGUUGGUUGUACAAAGUCAAAGCUUGUGUGCUUGCAUUUAUAGUGACUUGAUGUGAAGAGUGUGGAAGGAAGAAAAGAAGAAAAAUGUGUGAAAUAAAAGGAAAGGCCAUUCGGCCAUGGGUCUCCAGUUUCUACAUGACCACAUUCAUUUUUUUCUAAA
Molecule: long non-coding RNA, 1382 nt
Organism: Quercus lobata
Lineage: Eukaryota; Viridiplantae; Streptophyta; Magnoliopsida; Fagales; Fagaceae
Exons: 7
Source: RefSeq, a predicted model, not a curated record